RNA transcript from Suncus etruscus (white-toothed pygmy shrew), 1249 nucleotides. It is a transcript of the gene named ubiquitin conjugating enzyme E2 F (putative), with no coding region annotated. NCBI's taxonomy places the organism in Eukaryota, Metazoa, Chordata, Mammalia, Eulipotyphla, Soricidae. The transcript is spliced from 10 exons. The record is from RefSeq and is a predicted model, not a curated record.
CGCCGCCGCCGCCGCCGGCUGGCGGGGCUCGAGGCAGAGGGCUGCGGGGCCCGGCGUGGUGGGGCUCGGCGCGCCCAAGGGUCUAGGUGGCAGUAAUGCUGACGCUGGCGAGCAAGCUGAAGCGGGAUGAUGGUCUCAAAGGGUCCCGGACAUCCACCUCAGCCUCCGACUCCACAAGGAGGGUGUCCGUGCGGGACCGGCUGCUUGUGAAAGAGGUUGCAGAACUUGAAGCUAAUUUACCUUGUACUUGUAAAGUACAUUUUCCUGAUCCAAACAAGCUCCACUGCUUUCAGUUAACGGUAACCCCAGAUGAGGGUUACUACCAGGGUGGAAAGUUUCAGUUUGAAACUGAAGUUCCCGACGCCUACAAUAUGGUGCCUCCUAAAGUGAAGUGCUUGACCAAGAUCUGGCACCCCAACAUCACAGAGACAGGCGAGAUCUGUCUAAGUUUGCUGAGAGAACAUUCAAUUGACGGCACUGGCUGGGCCCCCACAAGGACCUUGAAGGAUGUGGUUUGGGGUCUGAACUCACUGUUCACGAGCUUCAGUGCCUGCAGAGUUGCUUCUGCACUGGCACCGGGGAGUGAAGACUCGCCUCAGCACAGACCUGGGGCGCCUUUCCGCUUCACCCACACUGUUUCUCUCAGGAUCUUCUGAACUUCGACGACCCACUGAAUAUUGAAGCUGCAGAACAUCAUUUGCGGGACAAGGAUGACUUCCGGAGUAAAGUGGAGGAUUACAUUAAACGUUAUGCCAGAUGAUGAGCCUGCAGCCCGUGGACUUUGCACCCCAAGUGUGUCCACCUCGAGCCGGGGAGCCCCCCUGUCCUCACGCCCCCUCAGUCCCACCAGGUCAUCCGAAUCCUGUGACCAUGUUGUCCAAGGAAGCGUCUCUGGUGACCGCCUGAUAGGUGGUGUGUCCACGUAGACACAGCGGAGUAUGUGGUGCUCAGGGCAGUCACUCCCGACUCUGCCACAGUAGCCAUGGAUGGGCCUGGAGAAGGACGAACAAAGACGAGGCUCGAGCUUGCUUCUCCCCCUGCCCCGCACAACCCCGCUCCCGCACGAGCGAUGCUCAGGCUGGGCCCAGCCCCACAGGCACACUGGGGUACCCCAACCACCCCCCUGCUGGGAUGGGCCCGUGAGUUCUCGGCCCCUGCACUGGGGCCCGCCACCACCCAGAGCAGCCCCCGCUGUAGCCCCUGUACUGAGAUGCGCAUUGUAUGGAAUGUAAGUAUAUUUUGGAACAGA